Molecule: transfer RNA, 79 nt
Filed under: Methanosalsum zhilinae DSM 4017
Lineage: Archaea; Methanobacteriati; Methanobacteriota; Methanomicrobia; Methanosarcinales; Methanosarcinaceae
Description: tRNA-Pro
Source: RNAcentral
GGGACCGUAGGGUAGACUGGACCAUCCUUCGGCGUUCGGGACUUACGCCGGUACCUGAGUUCAAAUCUCAGCGGUCCCA